Molecule: small RNA, 28 nt
Filed under: Bombyx mori (domestic silkworm)
Lineage: Eukaryota; Metazoa; Arthropoda; Insecta; Lepidoptera; Bombycidae
Description: ovarian small RNA-27269
Source: RNAcentral
UCCCGAAGCAUCCAUGCCCCGAAAGGAC